UCAUUAAAUAUUUUAUUAAGUUUCAGUGAAACAGCAAAAUAAACCAACUUAAACUUGUUGAUAUUCUCCUGUAUUUGCAUAGAGAGUGUGUUUUACAUGAGCGACACACACUUCAGUGCUCUGUGUGUGUUUAUAACUCUGACAAACAUCAAACAUGAUCAACAACUGUUUCUCACUAGAACUGAACCUACAACCAACAGAAAUGACUUUCAUCACCAUAUUGAUCUGGACUCUGACUGUAUUAUGUAGAGAAUCUAUUGGGCAGGUGACAGUGACUCAAACUCCCUCAGUGCUGCUCGCUCAAACUGGACAAUCAGUCACUGUGACCUGUAAAUCCAGCAGUGAUCCUACCUGCUGUUGUAGUGGAAAACAGUGUCUCAGCUGGUACUUACAGAAACCUGGAGAAGCUCCUAAACUCCUGAUUUAUGGAACAAGCAGCCGUCAGUCAGGAACUCCAUCUAGAUUCAGUGGCAGUGGAUCUAACAGUGAUUUCACUCUGACCAUCAGUGGAGUCCAGACUGAAGAUGCUGGACAUUAUUACUGUCAGAGUUACCACUACAUCAACAGUAAAAGUGUGUUCACACAGUGAUUGUGAGUUGUACAA
Non-coding RNA from Carassius carassius (crucian carp), 604 nucleotides. The record is from the annotation of a RefSeq genome assembly. Lineage: Eukaryota; Metazoa; Chordata; Actinopteri; Cypriniformes; Cyprinidae.